GGCAUGAUGGCCAAGUGGUAAGGCAUCUGUCUCAUAACUUGUCUGUUGAGGGUUUGAGCCCUGUUUAUGCCU
RNAcentral lists this transfer RNA (72 nucleotides) under Lepisosteus oculatus (spotted gar). It matches the Rfam family "tRNA". Rfam says of the family: Transfer RNA (tRNA) molecules are approximately 80 nucleotides in length. Their secondary structure includes four short double-helical elements and three loops (D, anti-codon, and T loops). Lineage: Eukaryota; Metazoa; Chordata; Actinopteri; Semionotiformes; Lepisosteidae. The record is from Rfam by way of RNAcentral.